This 492-nucleotide ribosomal RNA is filed under the name uncultured bacterium. Its description in RNAcentral is "partial 16S ribosomal RNA". It matches the Rfam family "Bacterial small subunit ribosomal RNA", at positions 29 to 507 of the family's 1533-position model. The record is from RNAcentral.
AGUGAACGCUGGCGGUAGGCCUAACACAUGCAAGUCGAACGGCAGCACAGUAAGAGCUUGCUCUUACGGGUGGCGAGUGGCGGACGGGUGAGGAAUACAUCGGAAUCUACUUUUUCGUGGGGGAUAACGUAGGGAAACUUACGCUAAUACCGCAUACGACCUACGGGUGAAAGCAGGGGAUCUUCGGACCUUGCGCGAUUGAAUGAGCCGAUGUCGGAUUUGCUAGUUGGGGGGGUAAAUGCCCACCAAGUCGACGAUCCAUAGAUGGUCUGAGAGGAUGAUCAGCCACAGUGGAACGAAGACACGGUCCCAGUUCCGACGGGAGGCAGAAGUGGAGAAUGUUGGACAAUGGGCGCAAGCCGAACCCAGCCAUCCCGCGUAGGUGAAGAAGGCCUUCGGGUUGUAAAGCCCUCUUGUUUGGAAAGAAAAGCAGCAGGUUGAUACCCCGCUGUUCUGACGGUACCCAAAGAAUAAGCCCCGGCUAACUUCGUG